Molecule: ribosomal RNA, 153 nt
Filed under: uncultured bacterium
Lineage: Bacteria
Description: partial 16S ribosomal RNA
Rfam family: Bacterial small subunit ribosomal RNA
Source: RNAcentral
UGUACACACCGCCCGUCACACCACGAAAGUUGAGAGCACCCGAAGCCGGUGAGGUAACCAGCAAUGGAACCAGCCGUCGAAGGUGAGAUCAGCGAUUGGGGUGGAGUCGUAACAAGGUAGCCGUAUCGGAAGGUGCGGCUGGAUCACCUCCUU